Suricata suricatta (meerkat) is the source of this 2810-nucleotide long non-coding RNA. RefSeq lists it as uncharacterized. The transcript is spliced from 2 exons. NCBI's taxonomy places the organism in Eukaryota, Metazoa, Chordata, Mammalia, Carnivora, Herpestidae. The record is from RefSeq and is a predicted model, not a curated record.
GCCACACCCUGCACUCCUUCCUUCCUGCUCAGGGCCCCAGAUCCGGUGCCCCCGAUGCCUCAGGCUGCCAAGCACAUCAGGUACAAUAAGUUUAUUUUGUUGUCAUACUUGUCAGAGAAGAGCGGAGACACUGAGGACCUAGCAGCUUCCACCACUGACUCAGGAGGAAAUGGGCCGAGUCCCUGGGUCGUCCGGUGUGUGUGUGUCGGCGCUCCUUUCCACCUGUUGGGACUGUGGGGAUGGCUCCCUCUCUUCACCCCUGCCCAGUGUCCUCCCCCCUCCUCCCUGCUCUCCAGGCCUGGCUUCUCAUCUUGAGAUCCAGGGAUGGGCCAGAAGGAGCAGGAGCUCAGCUCCUGCGGGAAGAAAAGCAGAAGCAAGGAUCCCCUGCGUCCUCAGCCAGGAACGUGCACAUCGCGUUCGGGGGAGAGGCUGGGGCAUUUCUCUGAGCCUGAGGUCACCUCUGGGAGGCACACACCCUCUGUCCUCUGUCUCUCCCGGCCCCACCCCCUGCCAGAGGAGCAGCCCACUACUUGCUGGAAUUCAUCCUCCAAGCAAGACAGACGUGGGUCCUCAGUGUCCCUGCCUGUGCAUCUCCCCAGCUCAGCCUGAGGGUCUACCAGGAGCAGGUCCAUCCCCCAAGACCGGAGGAAAGCAGGGGAGCCCAUCACCCCUAAAGCCUCAACUUCUGCAAAGCAGCCACACACGCCAGCCUCCAGCCAAGCCACUGUGGGUGUGUCAGAGCUAAGGCUUCCAGAAGCAUCCAGGUUGCCAUUGGAAGAAGGAGUCUAAGUGUCUGAGGACAGUGCCAGCCUCUGGCGAGGGGGCAGAGCAGGGCUGUGUCUAUGCAGUAAAUCUGUGACACCAGCCCCUUGGGCUCCAGGGUUCUAUAACCUCACCCCUGCGGGUGGGCGGGAGGAGGGAAGCGUCUCCCGGAAGCUGGGCUGUGUGAUCCACAGCAGGUGGUGGCGGUGUGACCCCCUCACUGCCCACGAGCAGUGAGAGGAGCCCGACUGGACGUCUGAAAUGAUUCCUGUUUUAGUGUCGACCCGACAGUCCGGGGGGGAGGUCGGAGGUGAGAACACAAGACCACGGUCCCACCCCCGAGCCUCACGGGCGCCCUGGCACCGGGGACCCGCCCACCCUUCAUGCACUUUGUGUAGCCAAGUGGGGGACCCUCGUUCCCUGCAGACCCGCUCCGGAGCCUCCGUGCUCUCCCCACGGCCCGGAGCACAAGCCGUGACGUCUGUGUCAGGUCCUACAGCACAAGGACAUGUCAGUCCCUCCCUGAUGGCCUCUCUCGUGCACUCCAGGCAAAGGCGCUAACUAGUCCGGGGAGUUUUCUGUAGAUUCCUGGGAAUGUCUACGCAGACGCAUGCAGAAACAAUGUCUGUACCAAGACGGGCUGUCUGUUUACGUUUCCCGUUCAUAUCUCAUUUUAUUCCUUUUUUGUGUCUUAUCGCAUUUGAUCAGACUCCCCGAGAGGCUGCACGAGAGGGGGGACCACACUCACCACUGGCUCAUCCCCACUUUACGGGACAAGCAUUCCGUUUUCCACCAUCUACAGUCAGAUUAGCUGUCGGGAUUUCUGUAAAUAUGUUUAUUACCUUUGUCAGUUUCCUUAUCUCUAAUUGCGUUUUUCUUAUUUCUGUUCCUUGACUUGCUCUUAUUUUUAUAGACUCAUAAGAUACAUGCUUAAAUUAUCGAUUUGGAGCAUUUCCUCUUGUAAACUAUGACUUUAAUCAUAUAUAUAUUUCCUUACGAGCACCUCGUUAGCCCCUUUUCACACGUUUUGAUCUCUUGUGUUUUCACUUCCGUUCACCUCCAAUGUUGAAGUAUUUCCCUUCAGACACCCUCUCCGACAAGCGGGUAUGAAGAAUUAUUUUGCGUCAUUGCUAAGUGUCUGGAAAUGUCCUGUUAUCGUUCUGUUAUUACAUUCUACUCUAGCUCUAUUGGAGUCGGAGAAUAUAUUACUUUACUUGAGUCCAUGAGAAUCGUUGGCGUCUGGGUCACGCCCAGGACAGGACUUGGUCGUGGGGUGGGAGGGACUCUGCAGUCGCUGGGAGGGCCAAGCGCUCUCCGAGGACCCGCCAGGUCAAGGUGGCUCACGGUCGUGUUUGCCGCUCCGUGUUCUUCCCGAUUCUCCAGCCGCUCGCCGGCUCCCAGGGCAGGUGGGCUCGGUCUCUGGGACGCAGGAGGCCUCUGUCUCUCCCGUCGGUUCUGUCAGGUUUGCUGCGUGUCUCUGGUGCCCGUUGUCAGGUGGGCGCAUGUUUAGGGGUCUGGUCACUUCCUGCUGAAUUGAUCCUCCAUUAUUGUCUACCAUUCUUCUGGGUCCCUGGUAAUUUCCCAGGCUCUGAGGUCUACCUUUUCUGAUAUUAUUUAGCCCUUCUACCUUUCUUUGGAUUACUGUUGAUGUGAUCUCGUGCUUCAUUUUAUAUGUCAACUGGCUGGGCCCCAGUGCCAAGAACUUUGCCAGGUAUUAUUCUAGAUGUUUCUAUGAGGAGGUUUGGGGUGGAUAAACUCUGAGUAAAGCAGGCUCCCCUCCACAGUGUGGGUGAGCCACAUCUAAUCAGUUGAAGGCCUGAACAGUGCAAGGACUGACCUCCCCUGAGGAAGAAAGACUUCUGAAGUGGAGGGUCAGGGUCUGCAGCACUGGCUCCUCCCUGUGUGUCCUGCCUGGUGACAUUUGGACUUGACCCCAGCAGCACAUCCUCCCUCCUCUCAGCCCGGCUCCCUGACCCUGCAGACGCCAGACCCGCCAGCCUCUCCAAGAAUGUGAGCUACUUAUACAAUAAAUCUCUCUCGAUGUGCAA